Molecule: ribosomal RNA, 271 nt
Filed under: uncultured prokaryote
Description: partial 16S ribosomal RNA
Rfam family: Archaeal small subunit ribosomal RNA
Source: RNAcentral
CACCUGCGCCACAAGUGGCAAUCAUGUUUAUUUGGUCUAAAGCGUCCGUAGCUGGAUUAGAAAAUCUAUUGUGAAAUUGUUGAGCUUAACUUAACGGUGUGCAAUAGACACUUUUAAUCUUGAGACUGGUGAGGAGAUAAAAGUAUUUUAAGGGUAACGGUAAAAUGUUUUGAUCCUUAAAGGACUGCCAAUGGCGAAGGCAUUUAUCUAUAACAGGUCUGACAGUGAGGGACGAAGGCUAGGGGAGCAAAACGGAUUAGAUACCCCCGUA